Long non-coding RNA from Cannabis sativa, 5040 nucleotides. RefSeq lists it as uncharacterized. The record is from RefSeq and is a predicted model, not a curated record. The transcript has 3 exons. Lineage: Eukaryota; Viridiplantae; Streptophyta; Magnoliopsida; Rosales; Cannabaceae.
UAAGAAUUUUAUUGUAGAAGAAUUAGAACUAAAUAUUAUGAGUUAGUGUUGCUUAGACGAUCAAGUUAGCUAAAUAGAAACAAACAAGAAGGAGGAGCUUCAACACCUACAAGAAGUUUAGGAAGGAGACGAGCUACAAGGCUAAUGAGUUGUACUAUUAUGGAAGAGGCACCCGUGUAAGCUGAGUUGAGAGGACGCUUGUUUUUGCGAGUAGUUGGUGAAAGAGAAUGUCAAGCUUAGGGAACGACUCCAAGCUAAGGAUGAAAAGUUGCAUUGCAAUAAGCGGUAAAGCACGAGGAAUUCAAUUCAACAGUCAACACAUUGCUUUGAGCCACCAUAUGAAAGUAUUAAAAAAAAAAUAUUAUUGACAUUUGAAGGAGGCUCUAACCCAUUGGAGGGGAAGGAACGACAAAGUAUUGUAGAUCCCAUAUUGGAUAUAUGAAACUCAAUAAUAGACAACUGACAAAUGACUUGAUAGAGCUAGAAAUGAAGGAUCAUGACAUCGCACACGAUAUGGAUUGGCUAUCCAUUCAUCAAUUGCUAAAAGUAUUUAGUCGCUUUUGGCAACAAAGGCCAGAGACAAGUAUACGUUGAUAAGAGUUAAGAUAGCCUUAUGAACUUCUUUAAUCUCAUCCUUAAAGACUACCUAGAUAAGAAAGGCAUGGUGUCAAGCAUUGUUGGCCAAUCUAAUGAACCAAGUAGUGGAGACACGGUUAACAAACAUCCACGCAGUCUGAUAAUCCCAAAGGUCUUUCUAAAAGAUCUACCAGGGAUACCCUCAGACAGUGAUGUGGAGUUCAUAAUCAAGUUAGCUCUAAGAGUGCUUAAAUUUUGAAGGCUCCAUACAAAAUGGCAAUUUACGAGCUGUAGAAACUCAAAGUAUAGCUACAAGAUCUCCUAGACAAGGGGAUCAUUAGACCAAGUUACUCACCUUGGGGUGCUCCAGUAUUCUUCAUCAAGAAGAAAGAUGGAAGCAUAUGAGAUUGUGCAUAUACUACCUCAAGCUCAACAAGGUGACCAUCAAGAAUAAGUACCCUUUACCAAGGAUAGACGAUCUCUUCGAUCAAUUACAAGGCUUGAGUGUAUUCUAAAAAAAUAUAUAUAUAUAUAUAUUUAAGAUCUAGGUAUCACCAGUUGAAGGUCUGGAAGGAAGACAUACCCAAGGUAGCAUUCAGAACAUGGUAUGGACACUAUGAGUUUUUAGUAAUGUCUUUCGGACUAACUAACGCCCCAACAACCUUCAUGGAUAUGAUGAAUAUGGUGUUCAAGGAGUACCUAGAUAAGUUUGUUGUUGUAUUCAUUGAUGACAUUCUUAUCUACUCCAAAACUGUGGAGGAACAUGAGGAACACCUGAGGAUGACUCUAAACCGACUUAAGGAGAGCCAACUAUACGCCAAAUUGAAGAAAUGUGAAUUCUGGUUAGAGAAGGUGGCAUUCCUAGGCCAUAUAGUUUCCAAAGAUGGAGUCGAGGUGGAUCUUACAAAGAUCGAAGCGGUCAAGAGCUGGCCAACACCUAAGACUGCAAGUGAAGUAAGAAGCUUCUUGGGUCUAGUUGGUUACUAUAGACGCUUCGUGGAAGGAUUUUCCAAGAUCGCAACUCCUCUGACCAACUUGACUUGAAAGACCCAAAAGUUUGUCUAGUCAGAAAAGUAUGAGGGUAGCUUCUAAACACUUAAGGACAAACUAAUAACAGCCCGUGUAUUAUGUGUUCCCAAUAACAAGGAUAAGUUUGUGGUGUACUGUGAUGCAUUAAAACAAGGGUUAGGAUGCGUGCUGAUGCAAAAUGACAAUGUAGUAGCCUAUGCCUCAAGACAACUUAAGGAGUAUGAACAGAGGUACCCAACACACGAUCUGGAGUUGGCGGCAGUAGUUUUUGCGCUAAAAAUAUGGAGGCACUAUCUCUACGGGGAGAAAUGUGAAAUUUUUAUACCGACCACAAGAGCCUGAAAUACUUCUUUAUGCAAAAGAAACUCAACAUGAGGCAGAGGCGAUGGCUAGAGCUUGUUAAGGACUAUGAUUGUGAAAUCCACUACCAUCCGGGGAAGGCCAACGUAGUAGCAGACGCGCUAAGUAGACGCAGUUAUGCCAGCUUGGCAAUACUGGCACAAAUGGAAAUGCCACUACAACAAGAACUCCAAAGAAAUGGUAUAAAGAUCAUUACACAAAAGCUAGCUAACCUAACCAUUGUCUUGACGCUGCUACAAGAACUUAAAGAUGCACAGAUUGUUGAUGAGUUCUUACAGAAGAAAAGAGCAGGCAUGCCAGAGAAGGAGGCAGAGGAUUUCUCCGAAGGUUCAGACGGCAUGCUAAGGUAUAAGGGAAGAGUGUGUGAAGCCAACGACGUAGAGCUUAAAAACAAUAUCUUGAUUGAAGCACACACUACACCCUACUCAAUGCAUCCAGGGUGAACCAAAAUGUACAAUGACUUAAAAACCUUGUAUUGGUGGCCAGGGAUAAAGAAGGAUGUAGCUGAAUUUGUAGCUAGAUGCCUCACAUGUCAACAAGUUAAGGUUGAAUAUCAGAUACCAACAAGGAUGUUACAACCCUUGGUAAUCCCGGAAUGGAAGUGGGAAGAUAUAGCCAUGGAUUUUGUGACAAGACUACCUCGAACAACCAAGAAACACGACUCAAUUUGGGUAAUUAUAGACAGACUCACAAAGUAAGCACACUUUGUUCCAGUAAAGUCUACUUACAGCACAGAGCAGUACGCUGACUUGUACGUACAUGAGAUAUUAAGGUUGCGUGGAGUUCCAAAGACGAUAGUCUCUGAUAGAGGCUCAGUAUUCACCUCCAAGUUCUGGGAGAGUCUACAUAAGGCAAUGGGGACGCGGUUGAAAUUAAGUACAACAUUUCAUCCCCAAACAGAUGGACAAUCUGAACGUACCAUCCAAAUGCUUGUGGAUAUGCUUCGAGCGUGUGCACUGGACUUCACUGGCUCGUGGAGUAAGUAUUUACCUCUAAUGGUGUUCUCCUACAAUAAUAGCUAUCAAGCCACAAUCUAAAUGACACCAUAUGAGAUGCUUUAUGGAUGAAAAUGUAGAUCGCCGCUUCACUUGGAUGAAGUUGGAGAAAGACACUACUUAGGUCCAAAGCAGUAAGAGAAGCUUUAGAAGCAGUUGAAAAGAUACGGCAAAGGAUGCUCACCGCCUAAAGUAGACAGAAAAGUUAUGCAGAUUUGAAAAGACGGGAGGUUGAGUUUUCUGUAGGGAACUUAGUGUUCUUGAAGGUAUCACCUAUGAACGGGGUUAUGCGUUUCGAAAAAAAAAGGGAAAAGUUAAGCCCAAGAUUUAUAGGUCCUUUUGAAAUAUUGGACAGAGUUGGUGAGGUAGCUUACCGUUUGACCCUACCGCCAACAUUAGCAGAAACACAUAAUAUUUUCCACAUUUCUAUGUUACGGAAGUAUGUACCUGAUCCGACACAUGUGCUUAAAUACGAGAACUUGAACUUGCAGCAGGACAUGAGUUACAUGGCACGCCCUGUGCGCGUGAUAGAAAAAGGAACAAAAGUCUUACGAAAUAAGACUAUACCUUUAGUCAAAAUCUUGUGGAGUGAUAGUUCUAAUAGAGAAGCGACAUGGGUGUUGGAGAAGGACAUGCAGAAUCAGUACCCCGAGUUACUCUCAAGUAAGUAAAUUUCGAGGACGAAAUUCCUUUAAGGAGGGUAGAUUGUAAUAACUCAAUUAUUAAAAUUACUUAUUUAAUUAUUAUUAGAAUAGUCUAGAUAUCUCGAUGUGGAAGUAGUGAAUAGAUGAAUAAAUUAGUAAAAGAGUGACCUUCUUUAAAUUUACGAUAAUAAAGUUAUAGUGAUUUUAUGUUAUGCAUGGAAAGCAUGCACGUGUAGCAUGAUAUAGUAAAUUAUAGUGAAUUAUUUAGAUUUUUAAAUUAGUUGAGAAAUUGAUGGGUUUAUUUGAUGGAUUGGUGCUAGUUGCUUGUAAGCUACUUCCAUACAGUAUAUGUGUGUAAUACAAGUAAUGGGGUGGUUAGUAAUUAAGCAUAAAAUUAAAAUUGUACAGGUGGCAAAUUAUGAGUAAGUCUUGCUUUCAAGUUGUAGGCAUUGUGUCGUUCUUAUAACUUGGAUUAUUUGAAAUUACUAUGUGCUUUGAUAUGGUAAUAUUAUUAAGUUAGGAAAAGAUUUUAUAAUCAUUAUUGAGUAGUAAUAGUUGUACUAAGGAUAGUUAGAAGUUUAAGGAGAAUCUUAUACAACCUAGUCUAGUAAGAUUGUAUACGUGGGAACUAGAGAGGAUAAAGCUCUCACCAAUUAACAAAUCAAAAACCAAUUGCUAACUUCAAUUCGAUUUAUUUGGGGAAUUACUGAAGCUUUGACCGAAUAGUUAGGGGCUAAGGAUGAAUAUAUUUAUCUAAUUGCUUAAUUUAAUAGCUUUAUAAAGUUUAACUAUGGUUAGAUGGGGAUCGUGGCAUAAGUUAAAGGAUAUAGCUUAGGGUGAGUUAACUAAAGCUUAAGGCUAUAAAUAGGAGUCAUUAGUGUAAACAUAGCUCACACCAAUCUCUAUUAUGGAUUUACAUACCAAAAUUCUCUUGCAAUUAUUCUCUCCCUCAUAUAUUCACUUAUUUCAUUUUAGAAUGAAGCCUUAGCUCCGCUUAAUAUGUCACCAUAAAACCAAACACCACCCACAAACCAUUGUUUUCUUGUCCAUAUUAACUCAAGGCUAAGACACUAAGUUAAUAUCAUCCUCUCAUAUAUCUUACAUCAUAUUAGCGUCACCAUCUAUCAUUUGAAGUUCAAGUUUUGGUGCUCAACUAGAUCUCAUUGGAAGCUAAUUAAGGUUUUUCAUAAGAAACUCAUUAUUGGUUUUCAAGGAUCACUCUUAUUGCAAUCAAGGCUAGAACUCCACAUUCGAGACCAAGGUAACUGAAAGUUUAGAAAGUCGGUGGCGAGUGGAACUUUGGACGCUUGUGUGUGUGAACUCGCUGAGGACCAUAUAACUGUGGGCGGUCUAGGGCGCUCUGUUUAUUUAUUUACGCUAUUAAACUUAUGUCACAAUUAUUUUAGUUAUUAUUUAUUAUGUCUUUUGUACGAAAA